UUUCCGUAGGUGAACCUGCGGAAGGAUCAUUAUUGUAUAACCGAGGUGCGAGGGCUGUCGCUGACCCGAAAGGUCGUGCACGCCCGAGUGCCCUCACACACAUCCAUCUCACCCCUAUGUGCACCACCGCGUGGGUCCCCCUUUGGCUUGUUCGGAGGGGGGCUUACGUUUUCACACAAACUUUGUAUGCAGUGUAGAAUGUAUUUUUUGUUUUUGCGAUCACGCAAUCAAUACAACUUUCAACAACGGAUCUCUUGGCUCUCGCAUCGAUGAAAAACGCAGC
This 283-nucleotide unclassified non-coding RNA is filed under the name plant metagenome. Its description in RNAcentral is "partial contains small subunit ribosomal RNA, internal transcribed spacer 1, and 5.8S ribosomal RNA". The stretch from base 235 to 283 matches the Rfam family "5.8S ribosomal RNA", at positions 1 to 49 of the family's 154-position model. The record is from RNAcentral.